RNAcentral lists this ribosomal RNA (254 nucleotides) under uncultured bacterium. RNAcentral describes it as "partial 16S ribosomal RNA". It matches the Rfam family "Bacterial small subunit ribosomal RNA", at positions 524 to 777 of the family's 1533-position model. The record is from RNAcentral.
UACGGAGGGUGCAAGCGUUGUCCGGAUUUAUUGGGUUUAAAGGGUGCGUAGGCGGCGUGGAAGGUUGGGUGUGAAAUCCCUCAGCUUAACUGAGGAACAGCGCCCAAAACUACCAUGCUCGAGGGAGAUAGAGGAAUGCGGAACUUAGGGUGGAGCGGUGAAAUGCGUUGAUAUCCUAGGGAACACCGGUGGCGAAAGCGGCAUUCUGGAUCUCUUCUGACGCUGAGGCACGAAAGCUAGGGUAGCAAACGGGG